GCGCCCGUAGCUCAGCCGGAUAGAGCAUCAGCCUCCGAAGCUGAAGGCCGGGGGUUCGAAUCUCCCCGGGCGCA
This 74-nucleotide transfer RNA is filed under the name Clostridium sp. RNAcentral's name for it is "tRNA-Arg". It matches the Rfam family "tRNA". Rfam says of the family: Transfer RNA (tRNA) molecules are approximately 80 nucleotides in length. Their secondary structure includes four short double-helical elements and three loops (D, anti-codon, and T loops). Further hydrogen bonds mediate the characteristic L-shaped molecular structure. tRNAs have two regions of fundamental functional importance: the anti-codon, which is responsible for specific mRNA codon recognition, and the 3' end, to which the tRNAs corresponding amino acid is attached (by aminoacyl-tRNA synthetases). tRNAs cope with the degeneracy of the genetic code in two manners: having more than one tRNA (with a specific anti-codon) for a particular amino acid; and 'wobble' base-pairing, i.e. permitting non-standard base-pairing at the 3rd anti-codon position. The record is from RNAcentral. Lineage: Bacteria; Bacillati; Bacillota; Clostridia; Eubacteriales; Clostridiaceae.